CGGAAGAAGUAAAGUGAUGGAAAGCGGCGGACGGGUGAGUAACGCGUAGGCAACCUGCCUCUCACAGGGGGAUAGCCAUCGGAAACGGUGAUUAAUACCCCAUAAAGUCAAAAUAACACAUGUUAAACUGACCAAAGAUUUAUCGGUGAGAGAUGGGCCUGCGUCUGAUUAACUAGUUGGUGAGGUAACGGCUCACCAAGGUGACGAUCAGUAGCCGACCUGAGAGGGUGAACGGCCACAUUGGAACUGAGACACGGUCCAAACUUC
This 267-nucleotide ribosomal RNA is filed under the name uncultured bacterium. RNAcentral's name for it is "partial 16S ribosomal RNA". It matches the Rfam family "Bacterial small subunit ribosomal RNA", at positions 78 to 339 of the family's 1533-position model. The record is from RNAcentral.